Molecule: long non-coding RNA, 1027 nt
Filed under: Ornithorhynchus anatinus (platypus)
Lineage: Eukaryota; Metazoa; Chordata; Mammalia; Monotremata; Ornithorhynchidae
Description: lncRNA (ENSOANG00000049149.1)
Source: RNAcentral
GUGGAUUAUGGCAGAAGAGGGGACGUUCUGGAGAAAGUAUAUCCACAGUCGCUAUGAAUCGGAAAAGACUAAAUGGCAUUUGAUAUAAUAAUAACAAUAACCCCCAUAAGCCCUUAGCAGAAGUGGCGAUGGAUGCACCACAGCAGUGAGGAGGAGGAGAAAAAGGAGGAGGUGGAGAAGCAGAAGUCCGUAAAGACUUCCCACACUCUUCCUCCUUUCUGUCUGCAGGAGCAGCAGCAACCAUCUCGGCCAUCUCCACCAUCAUGGCCCGUCCCGGAACCAGACGAUGGUGCUAAGAGUGAGACUCCAACCAAACGCGUGAGGUACUGAAGACACUCUGUGAAUACAACUUAAUAGCAGGGUAUAUUUUCUAACCCAUUACCCCAGUGGGUGAACAUUACGCCUCUUAGUAGGGCUGCCCGAAGUCCACCAGAGAUGCUGUCCAACAGCCCUACUUUCUCUUCACUCAGUCAGCCAUUUUCAGCCUGUAAGCUUGUUGUGGGCAGGAACGUGUCCGUUUAUUGUUAGGUUGUACUCUCCCAAGUGCUUAGUAUAGUGCUCUGCACACAGUAAGCGCUCAAUAAAUACGAGUGGAUAAAUGAAUGGAUGAGAGGCCGUGCUGCUGCCUACUCUGUCACUGCACCCUGAGGCGAUGGCUUACCUUGUUUACCAUCUGAGCCAGCCUGUCUUUUUUUCCUUCUUCCCUCUCCCGUUCCCCAUUUCUUCCUUUUCCUUCCUCUCCUUUCCCCUUUUGCUACCUAGAAUUGGGUGGACAUACAGUAGAGUCAAUUAUUUGAACCUUGUUUAUUUGGCAGAAGUCAUCUGAGACACUCCAAAGCAGAAGUUUAGGUCCACGAACAGAGUUGGGUGUAUACCUAAGUUAGCCAAAUUGAAUUAUGUUUGCUCUCCUAACUUUCCAUUAUCUAAACUAGCCCUUGGACCACCACAUUUGUUUGGCUAAUUUUCUACUGAAUGUUAAAACCUGACCAAUUAAGUGUACACAGCAAAUGUGAAGCUUCAAAACUAC